Molecule: ribosomal RNA, 396 nt
Filed under: uncultured bacterium
Lineage: Bacteria
Description: partial 16S ribosomal RNA
Rfam family: Bacterial small subunit ribosomal RNA
Source: RNAcentral
AAUAUUGCACAAUGGGGGAAACCCUGCUGCAGCGACGCCGCGCGAGCGAGGAAGGCCUUCGGGCGGGAAAGAUCUGUCCUAAGGGAGGGAACGGACGGUACCUUAGGAGGCAGCCCCGGCUAACCACGUGCCAGCAGCCGCGGUAAUUCGUAGGGGGCGAGCGUUAUCCGGAAUUAUUGGGCGGAAAGGGUGGGUAGGCGGUCUUUUAAGUCAGAUGUGAAAGGCUACGGCUUAACCGUAGUUAGCAUUUGAAACUAAAAGGCUUGAGUGGAGGAGAGGAGAGUGGAAUUCCUAGUGUAGCGGUGAAAUGCGUAGAUAUUAGGAGGAACACCAGUGGCGAAGGCGACUCUCUGGACUGCAACUGACGCUGAGGCAAGAAAGCGUGGGGAGCGAACA